ACUUUCAAAGGACAGAAGUA
RNAcentral lists this transfer RNA (20 nucleotides) under Pelusios castanoides (Yellowbelly mud turtle). RNAcentral describes it as "partial transfer RNA-Leu". RNAcentral also lists the same sequence under 1 other name. Lineage: Eukaryota; Metazoa; Chordata; Testudines; Pelomedusidae. The record is from RNAcentral.